Molecule: ribosomal RNA, 253 nt
Filed under: uncultured bacterium
Lineage: Bacteria
Description: partial 16S ribosomal RNA
Rfam family: Bacterial small subunit ribosomal RNA
Source: RNAcentral
UACAGAGGGGGCAAGCGUUGUUCGGAAUUACUGGGCGUAAAGGGCGCGUAGGCGGCCUUCUAAGUCGGACGUGAAAUCCCCGGGCUCAACCCGGGAACUGCGUCCGAGACUGAAAGGCUUGAAUCCGGGAGAGGGAUGUGGAAUUCCAGGUGUAGCGGUGAAAUGCGUAGAUAUCUGGAGGAACAUCGGUGGCGAAGGCGGCAUCCUGGACCGGUAUUGACGCUGAGGCGCGAAAGCCAGGGGAGCAAACGGG